UCACCUACGGGGCGCAGCAGUGGGGAAUAUUGGGCAAUGGGCGCAAGCCUGACCCAGCAACGCCGCGUGAAGGAAGAAGGCUUUCGGGUUGUAAACUUCUUUUGUCAGGGACGAAGCAAGUGACGGUACCGAAUGAAUAAGCCACGGCUAACUACGUGCCAGCGGCCGCGGUAAUACGUAGGUGGCAAGCGUUAUCCGGAUUUACUGGGUGUAAAGGGCGUGUAGGCGGGAGAGCAAGUCAGACGUGAAAUUCCAGGGCUCAACCCUGGAACUGCGUUUGAAACUGUUCUUCUUGAGUG
This 299-nucleotide ribosomal RNA is filed under the name uncultured bacterium. Its description in RNAcentral is "partial 16S ribosomal RNA". It matches the Rfam family "Bacterial small subunit ribosomal RNA", at positions 335 to 648 of the family's 1533-position model. The record is from RNAcentral.